AAACAUCGCCUCCUGCAAAAACAAAGUAUAGGAGGUCUUGCCUGCCCAGUGAUAAAUUAAACGGCCGCGGUAUUUUGACCGUGCGAAGGUAGCGCAAUCACUUGUCUUUUAAAUAAAGACCUGUAUGAAUGGUGGAACGAGGGCUUAACUGUCUCCCCCCUCAAGUCAAUGAAAUUGAUCUGCCCGUGCAGAAGCGGACAUAAAACUACAAGACGAGAAGACCCUUUGGAGCUUAAGAUAAAAGAUCAACUAUGUCAAAAAUUUAUUUAAAAAUAAAUUAAACCAAAUAAUUAACUGAUCCUAAUCUUCGGUUGGGGCGACCACGGGAGAAAACAAAGCUCCCAUGUGGAUUGGGGCUAACAACCCUAAAACUAAGAAAGACAUUUCUAAGUAACAAUAAUUUUGACCUAACAGAUCCAGCAAUAUGCUGAUCAACGAACCAAGUUACCCAAGGGAUAACAGCGCAAUCCUCUUCAAGAGUUCAUAUCGACAAGAGGGUUUACGACCUCGAUGUUGGAUCAGGACAUCCUAAUGGUGCAGCCGCUAUUAAGGGUUCGUUUGUUCAACGAUUAAAGUCCUACGUGAUCU
This 588-nucleotide ribosomal RNA is filed under the name Ernstichthys anduzei. Its description in RNAcentral is "partial 16S ribosomal RNA". It matches the Rfam family "Bacterial large subunit ribosomal RNA", at positions 1811 to 2606 of the family's 2925-position model. Lineage: Eukaryota; Metazoa; Chordata; Actinopteri; Siluriformes; Aspredinidae. The record is from RNAcentral.